RNAcentral lists this ribosomal RNA (397 nucleotides) under uncultured bacterium. RNAcentral describes it as "bacterial SSU rRNA". It matches the Rfam family "Bacterial small subunit ribosomal RNA", at positions 30 to 429 of the family's 1533-position model. The record is from RNAcentral.
AUUGAACGCUGGCGGCAUGCCUUACACAUGCAAGUCGAACGGGCAGCACGGGAGCAAUCCUGGUGGCGAGUGGCGAACGGGUGAGUAAUAUAUCGGAACGUGCCCAGUCGUGGGGGAUAACGCAGCGAAAGCUGUGCUAAUACCGCAUACGAUCUAUGGAUGAAAGCGGGGGACUCGCAAGGGCCUCGCGCGAUUGGAGCGGCCGAUAUCAGAUUAGCUAGUUGUGGGGUAAAAGCCCGCCAAGGCGACGAUCUGUAGCUGGUCUGAGAGGACGACCAGCCACACUGGAACUGAGACACGGUCCAGACUCCUACGGGAGGCAGCAGUGGGGAAUUUUGGACAAUGGGCGAAAGCCUGAUCCAGCAAUGCGCGUGCAGACGAAGGCCUCGGUUGUAAC